This 253-nucleotide ribosomal RNA is filed under the name uncultured bacterium. RNAcentral describes it as "partial 16S ribosomal RNA". It matches the Rfam family "Bacterial small subunit ribosomal RNA", at positions 524 to 776 of the family's 1533-position model. The record is from RNAcentral.
UACGGAGGGGACUAGCGUUGUUCGGAAUUACUGGGCGUAAAGCGCACGUAGGCGGAUUUGUAAGUCAGGGGUGAAAUCCCGAGGCUCAACCUCGGAACUGCCUUUGAUACUGCAAAUCUCGAGUCCGGAAGAGGUGAGUGGAAUUCCUAGUGUAGAGGUGAAAUUCGUAGAUAUUGGGAAGAACACCGGUGGCGAAGGCGGCGACCUGGUCCGACACUGACGCUGAGACGCGAAAGCGUGGGGAGCAAACAGG